CUUUGGCUUUAGGUUUGGUAUGUGACCGGGGCCUUACUCUUGGUGACUUGAUCAGUGUCCUGAAUGACUUCUUCUCACGAUUAGGAAUGUCCAAGCUUCGUUUCAAGCGCGCUUACAAUCCAUAUACCGAACCCAACAUGGAGAUAUUCAGUUACCAUGAAGGCCUGAAGAAAUGGGUUGAAAUUGCCAACUCCGGUAUGUUCUGACCCGAGAUGUUGCUUCCAAUGGGAUUACCGGAGGAUGUUCGUGU
Long non-coding RNA from Hibiscus syriacus, 250 nucleotides. RefSeq lists it as uncharacterized. Lineage: Eukaryota; Viridiplantae; Streptophyta; Magnoliopsida; Malvales; Malvaceae. The record is from RefSeq and is a predicted model, not a curated record. The transcript has 3 exons.